This 253-nucleotide ribosomal RNA is filed under the name uncultured bacterium. RNAcentral describes it as "partial 16S ribosomal RNA". It matches the Rfam family "Bacterial small subunit ribosomal RNA", at positions 524 to 776 of the family's 1533-position model. The record is from RNAcentral.
UACGUAGGGUGCGAGCGUUGUCCGGAAUUACUGGGCGUAAAGAGCUCGUAGGUGGUUUGUCGCGUUGUUCGUGAAAUCUCACGGCUUAACUGUGAGCGUGCGGGCGAUACGGGCAGACUUGAGUACUGCAGGGGAGACUGGAAUUCCUGGUGUAGCGGUGGAAUGCGCAGAUAUCAGGAGGAACACCGGUGGCGAAGGCGGGUCUCUGGGCAGUAACUGACGCUGAGGAGCGAAAGCGUAGGGAGCGAACAGG